ACGGGGGGUGCUAGCGUUAUUCGGAAUCACUGGGCGUAAAGGGCGCGUAGGCGGUCUCCUAAGUCAGAUGUGAAAGCCCUCGGCUUAACCGAGGAAGUGCAUUUGAUACUAGGUGACUUGAGUAUGGGUGAGGGAGGCGGAAUUCCUGGUGUAGCGGUGAAAUGCGUAGAGAUCAGGAGGAACACCGGUGGCGAAGGCGGCUUACGAUGCCAAUAUUGACGCUGAGGCGCGAAGGUGUGGGGAGCAAACAG
This 251-nucleotide ribosomal RNA is filed under the name uncultured prokaryote. RNAcentral describes it as "partial 16S rRNA". It matches the Rfam family "Bacterial small subunit ribosomal RNA", at positions 525 to 775 of the family's 1533-position model. The record is from RNAcentral.